AGAGUUUGAUCCUGGCUCAGGACGAACGCUGGCGGCGUGCUUAACACAUGCAAGUCGAACGGACAUAGAUUAGAGUUUACUCUGAUCUAUGUUAGUGGCGAAAGGGUGAGUAACGCGUGGGCAACCUGCCCAGUACCGGGGAAUAACAGCGGGAAACCGUUGCUAAUACCGCAUAAUAUCUUUUUGAGACAUCUCAGAAAGAUCAAAGGAGAAAUCCAGUACUGGAUGGGCCCGCGUCCGAUUAGCUAGUUGGUGGGGUAAAGGCCUACCAAGGCGACGAUCGGUAGCCGAACUGAGAGGUUGAUCGGCCACAUUGGGACUGAGACACGGCCCAGACUCCUACGGGAGGCAGCAGUGGGGAAUAUUGCACAAUGGACGAAAGUCUGAUGCAGCAACGCCGCGUGAAGGAAGAAGGUCUUCGGAUUGUAAACUUCUUUGAUCAGGGAAGAAUAAUGACAGUACCUAAGAACAGCC
This 474-nucleotide ribosomal RNA is filed under the name uncultured Sporobacterium sp. RNAcentral's name for it is "bacterial SSU rRNA". It matches the Rfam family "Bacterial small subunit ribosomal RNA", at positions 8 to 491 of the family's 1533-position model. Lineage: Bacteria; Bacillati; Bacillota; Clostridia; Lachnospirales; Lachnospiraceae. The record is from RNAcentral.